Molecule: ribosomal RNA, 2902 nt
Filed under: Escherichia coli
Lineage: Bacteria; Pseudomonadati; Pseudomonadota; Gammaproteobacteria; Enterobacterales; Enterobacteriaceae
Description: bacterial LSU rRNA
Rfam family: Bacterial large subunit ribosomal RNA
Source: RNAcentral
UUAAGCGACUAAGCGUACACGGUGGAUGCCCUGGCAGUCAGAGGCGAUGAAGGACGUGCUAAUCUGCGAUAAGCGUCGGUAAGGUGAUAUGAACCGUUAUAACCGGCGAUUUCCGAAUGGGGAAACCCAGUGUGUUUCGACACACUAUCAUUAACUGAAUCCAUAGGUUAAUGAGGCGAACCGGGGGAACUGAAACAUCUAAGUACCCCGAGGAAAAGAAAUCAACCGAGAUUCCCCCAGUAGCGGCGAGCGAACGGGGAGCAGCCCAGAGCCUGAAUCAGUGUGUGUGUUAGUGGAAGCGUCUGGAAAGGCGCGCGAUACAGGGUGACAGCCCCGUACACAAAAAUGCACAUGCUGUGAGCUCGAUGAGUAGGGCGGGACACGUGGUAUCCUGUCUGAAUAUGGGGGGACCAUCCUCCAAGGCUAAAUACUCCUGACUGACCGAUAGUGAACCAGUACCGUGAGGGAAAGGCGAAAAGAACCCCGGCGAGGGGAGUGAAAAAGAACCUGAAACCGUGUACGUACAAGCAGUGGGAGCACGCUUCGGCGUGUGACUGCGUACCUUUUGUAUAAUGGGUCAGCGACUUAUAUUCUGUAGCAAGGUUAACCGAAUAGGGGAGCCGAAGGGAAACCGAGUCUUAACUGGGCGUUAAGUUGCAGGGUAUAGACCCGAAACCCGGUGAUCUAGCCAUGGGCAGGUUGAAGGUUGGGUAACACUAACUGGAGGACCGAACCGACUAAUGUUGAAAAAUUAGCGGAUGACUUGUGGCUGGGGGUGAAAGGCCAAUCAAACCGGGAGAUAGCUGGUUCUCCCCGAAAGCUAUUUAGGUAGCGCCUCGUGAAUUCAUCUCCGGGGGUAGAGCACUGUUUCGGCAAGGGGGUCAUCCCGACUUACCAACCCGAUGCAAACUGCGAAUACCGGAGAAUGUUAUCACGGGAGACACACGGCGGGUGCUAACGUCCGUCGUGAAGAGGGAAACAACCCAGACCGCCAGCUAAGGUCCCAAAGUCAUGGUUAAGUGGGAAACGAUGUGGGAAGGCCCAGACAGCCAGGAUGUUGGCUUAGAAGCAGCCAUCAUUUAAAGAAAGCGUAAUAGCUCACUGGUCGAGUCGGCCUGCGCGGAAGAUGUAACGGGGCUAAACCAUGCACCGAAGCUGCGGCAGCGACGCUUAUGCGUUGUUGGGUAGGGGAGCGUUCUGUAAGCCUGCGAAGGUGUGCUGUGAGGCAUGCUGGAGGUAUCAGAAGUGCGAAUGCUGACAUAAGUAACGAUAAAGCGGGUGAAAAGCCCGCUCGCCGGAAGACCAAGGGUUCCUGUCCAACGUUAAUCGGGGCAGGGUGAGUCGACCCCUAAGGCGAGGCCGAAAGGCGUAGUCGAUGGGAAACAGGUUAAUAUUCCUGUACUUGGUGUUACUGCGAAGGGGGGACGGAGAAGGCUAUGUUGGCCGGGCGACGGUUGUCCCGGUUUAAGCGUGUAGGCUGGUUUUCCAGGCAAAUCCGGAAAAUCAAGGCUGAGGCGUGAUGACGAGGCACUACGGUGCUGAAGCAACAAAUGCCCUGCUUCCAGGAAAAGCCUCUAAGCAUCAGGUAACAUCAAAUCGUACCCCAAACCGACACAGGUGGUCAGGUAGAGAAUACCAAGGCGCUUGAGAGAACUCGGGUGAAGGAACUAGGCAAAAUGGUGCCGUAACUUCGGGAGAAGGCACGCUGAUAUGUAGGUGAAGUCCCUUGCGGAUGGAGCUGAAAUCAGUCGAAGAUACCAGCUGGCUGCAACUGUUUAUUAAAAACACAGCACUGUGCAAACACGAAAGUGGACGUAUACGGUGUGACGCCUGCCCGGUGCCGGAAGGUUAAUUGAUGGGGUCAGCGCAAGCGAAGCUCUUGAUCGAAGCCCCGGUAAACGGCGGCCGUAACUAUAACGGUCCUAAGGUAGCGAAAUUCCUUGUCGGGUAAGUUCCGACCUGCACGAAUGGCGUAAUGAUGGCCAGGCUGUCUCCACCCGAGACUCAGUGAAAUUGAACUCGCUGUGAAGAUGCAGUGUACCCGCGGCAAGACGGAAAGACCCCGUGAACCUUUACUAUAGCUUGACACUGAACAUUGAGCCUUGAUGUGUAGGAUAGGUGGGAGGCUUAGAAGUGUGGACGCCAGUCUGCAUGGAGCCGACCUUGAAAUACCACCCUUUAAUGUUUGAUGUUCUAACGUUGACCCGUAAUCCGGGUUGCGGACAGUGUCUGGUGGGUAGUUUGACUGGGGCGGUCUCCUCCUAAAGAGUAACGGAGGAGCACGAAGGUUGGCUAAUCCUGGUCGGACAUCAGGAGGUUAGUGCAAUGGCAUAAGCCAGCUUGACUGCGAGCGUGACGGCGCGAGCAGGUGCGAAAGCAGGUCAUAGUGAUCCGGUGGUUCUGAAUGGAAGGGCCAUCGCUCAACGGAUAAAAGGUACUCCGGGGAUAACAGGCUGAUACCGCCCAAGAGUUCAUAUCGACGGCGGUGUUUGGCACCUCGAUGUCGGCUCAUCACAUCCUGGGGCUGAAGUAGGUCCCAAGGGUAUGGCUGUUCGCCAUUUAAAGUGGUACGCGAGCUGGGUUUAGAACGUCGUGAGACAGUUCGGUCCCUAUCUGCCGUGGGCGCUGGAGAACUGAGGGGGGCUGCUCCUAGUACGAGAGGACCGGAGUGGACGCAUCACUGGUGUUCGGGUUGUCAUGCCAAUGGCACUGCCCGGUAGCUAAAUGCGGAAGAGAUAAGUGCUGAAAGCAUCUAAGCACGAAACUUGCCCCGAGAUGAGUUCUCCCUGACUCCUUGAGAGUCCUGAAGGAACGUUGAAGACGACGACGUUGAUAGGCCGGGUGUGUAAGCGCAGCGAUGCGUUGAGCUAACCGGUACUAAUGAACCGUGAGGCUUAACCUU